Gautieria morchelliformis is the source of this 94-nucleotide non-coding RNA. The record is from the annotation of a GenBank genome assembly. NCBI's taxonomy places the organism in Eukaryota, Fungi, Basidiomycota, Agaricomycetes, Gomphales, Gomphaceae.
GGCAACAUGACCGAGUGGUUAAGGUGUCAGAUUCGAACUGGUCGGUCCUAUCUGAUCCUCUUUGAGGGCGCAGGUUCGAAUCCUGCUGUUGUCG